ACAGAGCAAUCUGUGUGACUGCGUACCUUUUGUAUAAUGGGUCAGCGACUUAUAUUCUGUAGCAAGGUUAACCGAAUAGGGGAGCCGAAGGGAAACCGAGUCUUAACUGGGCGUUAAGUUGCAGGGUAUAGACCCGAAACCCGGUGAUCUAGCCAUUGGCAGGUUGAAGGUUGGGUAACACUAACUGGAGGACCGAACCGACUAAUGUUGAAAAAUUAGCGGAUGACUUGUGGCUGGGGGUGAAAGGCCAAUCAAACCGGGAGAUAGCUGGUUCUCCCCGAAAGCUAUUUAGGUAGCGCCUCGUGAAUUCAUCUCCGGGGGUAGAGCACUGUUUCGGCAAGGGGGUCAUCCCGACUUACCAACCCGAUGCAAACUGCGAAUACCGGAGAAUGUUAUCACGGGAGACACACGGCGGGUGCUAACGUCCGUCGUGAAGAGGGAAACAACCCAGACCGCCAGCUAAGGUCCCAAAGUCAUGGUUAAGUGGGAAACGAUGUGGGAAGGCCCAGACAGCCAGGAUGUUGGCUUAGAAGCAGCCAUCAUUUAAAGAAAGCGUAAUAGCUCACUGGUCGAGUCGGCCUGCGCGGAAGAUGUAACGGGGCUAAACCAUGCACCGAAGCUGCGGCAGCGACACUGUGUGUUGUUGGGUAGGGGAGCGU
This 659-nucleotide ribosomal RNA is filed under the name Escherichia coli. Its description in RNAcentral is "partial 23S ribosomal RNA". It matches the Rfam family "Bacterial large subunit ribosomal RNA", at positions 579 to 1239 of the family's 2925-position model. Lineage: Bacteria; Pseudomonadati; Pseudomonadota; Gammaproteobacteria; Enterobacterales; Enterobacteriaceae. The record is from RNAcentral.